Non-coding RNA from Mycena metata, 90 nucleotides. NCBI's taxonomy places the organism in Eukaryota, Fungi, Basidiomycota, Agaricomycetes, Agaricales, Mycenaceae. The record is from the annotation of a GenBank genome assembly.
UCGGACGUGGUGUAGUGCAACACGGCCUCUCUUCUUGUGGGUUGAAGCAGUGUACGGAGGCAAUCCCGGGUUCGACUCCCGGCGUCCGAA